AUGUCGUCCGAUUUUGACGAAGACCAGAACGUCCCAUAUGCACAUCCACCAGAUGGCCCCCCUCUGCUGGACAGAGCCGACAACGUGCGGUUCAGGUGGCACGCCAGCGACCGGGCGCCACUGCACGAGAACCGGCAGCAGGUGCUGCUGGAGGUCCACGACGCGUCCUCCGCCGCCGCUAGCGACCGCCUCGGGCUGGACCUCGUGGCCGUCCUGGACGUCAGCAAGAGCAUGAGGAAGAAGGACCGGCUCGGCAAGAUGAAGACCGCCAUGCACUUCGUCAUCAACAAGCUCGGACCCAAGGACCGCCUCUCCAUCGUCAAGUUCUCCGAGGAGGCCGAGAGGCUGUGCCCGCUCCUCUCCGUCACCCCCGCUAACAAGCCGCACCUCAUGGCUAUCGUCGACGGCCUGCAAGUCAUCGACCCAACCAACAUAAGAGACGGCCUCGAGACCGCCCUCGGCGUCCUCGGCCGCCGACGCAUCUCCGGCGGCCGCCUCGCCAGCAUCUUUCUCUUGUCCGACGGGGACGAGAACAUAGGCCAUGCGACGAACGUUGAUGUCAGUGAUGUGCCGGUCUACACGUUUGGUUUUGGUACCGACUUCGAUCCCAAGGUGCUGGACGAGAUCGCAAGGAGGAGCAAAGGAGGAACGUUCAACUUCGUAGAUGACGGGGAGAACAUGACCGAGCCCUUCUCGCAGAUCCUGGGUGGCCUCCUCAGCGUCGUCGUCCAGGACCUCAAGCUCAUCGUGUCCCCACAGCCAGGCGACUCCAUACUAGAGGACGUGGACUCCCGUCUCUACCAGCAAACACGGGACGACAACUCCGGCGCGGUAAUCGUCCAUUUCGGCGAUCUCUUCGCCGGAGAAAUACGCAGGGUUAUCGCCCACAUCCGCCUCCCUGCCGUCGGCCAGAAGAAGAACGCCACUGCCAUCACCGCCCAGUGCUCCUAUAGUAUCCGGGGACAACCUUUCUACUCCCGUAGACUGCCGGUCCCCAUACGCCGCACCCCAACUGGAUCGGCUGACCCGAGCCGCACGAUGCCGGUGGCCCUGAGGACCGAGCGAGCCCGCCGGCACCACGUAACCUUCCUAGACGAGGUGCGUACGAUGGCGGACGGCGGCGACCUCCACGGCGCCCAAGGGAAGCUGGUGGAGGCCAGGAACGACCUUGCACAUGAGCAGUCCAACCCCAUGAUCGACUUCCUCAGGGCCACGCUGGACAAGCUCCUGGGGCUGAUCACGUCGCCGGGUCAACACGCCGGCUUCCGCGCCUACCUGCGGUCGCUCAGGACGUCGCAUGACCGCGAGCGCGUCGCGGCCACGGGCGACGUCAAGGGCGUCAGGCUCUUCGAGACGCGCCACACGAGCGCGUUCCGGGGGCAGGCCAAGCGGUUUGAGAAGCAGGCCACCAUGGGGCACCGGCCGCCGGCCCACCACGACUCCAACUUCAACGAGGACGACGACGACACGCAUAGACUCAGAGAUAGAGAAGAGGGCCGCACCCGCACGCGCAUGGAGAGGCCGGUCGCGGUGGAAGCGAGGAAUAAUAGGCCCUGGAAGACCUGGUGGGGGGACGACGACAAGCACCGCUGGAGCUCCGCCAGGUCCACGUCCGCGUGCGCGUGGGUGCUGUGCAUCCUGUGCGUGCUGCUCGUCAUCGGCGCCAUCGUCCUCGGCAUCCUGCUGUUCGCCGUCUACAACCACAAGAUGCCGUACCUGGCGGUCGCCGACGCGCAGCUGGGGGCGCUCCAGUACGCGGGCCAGGACGGCACCGUCCAGAACCUUCAGCUCUCCAUCGCCUUCCUGGCCAUCAACAAGGACUCCAGGGCGGACGCCUCUUUCUCCCGCGUCAACCUCGCGCUCAAGCUCCAAGGAGUCGACAUGCUUCUCUUCCGGGCGCCGCCGUUCGUGGUGCCGCCGGAUAGCUCCAUGCCGCUGCAGUACAACGACGUGGUGUCGACCGGGCGGAGGCUGGACAAGGCCGGGAUGCGCUCCAUGGACAAGUCGCUCAACGCCGGCGUGGUGCCGUUCGACCUGCACGGCAAGGUGCGCACGCGCGGGAACACGGGCAUCUUCCAAAACACCCAGUUUUGGACGCGCUUCUCAUGCCGUCUACGCUUCUUCUUCCCCGGUAACGGCACCGUCAUUCCCGCCGACCGCCGCAGUUGCCGCUCCAGGUGGCCGUAG
Molecule: ribosomal RNA, 2187 nt
Filed under: Triticum aestivum (bread wheat)
Lineage: Eukaryota; Viridiplantae; Streptophyta; Magnoliopsida; Poales; Poaceae
Description: partial small subunit ribosomal RNA
Source: RNAcentral